This 1381-nucleotide long non-coding RNA is filed under the name Nicotiana benthamiana. RNAcentral describes it as "long non-coding RNA (NBEN_LNC014945)". The record is from RNAcentral. Lineage: Eukaryota; Viridiplantae; Streptophyta; Magnoliopsida; Solanales; Solanaceae.
ACAAUGGGAGGGCUGGAAAAAAUAGAGCAAAGAAAGGUGACCUCCAUUUUCUUCCCUCUUUGCUCAUCUUUAUUACCUCGUCUCUUCCUAAAAUCACCGUGAAAGCUCAUCCAUAAAGCUACUAAACCACCUGAAAACACACACUUACAGAGAUAUACAAGAGAGAGGAAAGAGACGGGGAAAAACACACACUCGCCGACGAGGUUUAGUUUAGAGGCUCCGUUUCCAAGUUUCUUUGGCCGUUAAAUUUCAACCGUAUUCGACAUCAAAAUAUUUAGCAUAGAGGUCAGCUUAUUUUUCUUUUUCUCCACGAAUUGUUUCGAUCUUUCUUCUUCUAAAUAGCUGGUCACUAAUUAAAUGGUACAUAUUUUGUUAUUUGGAUUUGCCGUCUUGUGUUAACGAGUGUGCAAUGUUGAGUUUUGGUUAUUUAAGUUUGUGUAAUUAAUGUUGAGUUUUCUUAUUUAAUCAAUGUUGAGUUGCUAUUACGUUCAUAUAAUUAAAAGAAGUUUGGUUCUAUUAUGUGAUUUAUCAAUGAUGAAUAUUAUGUUAGUGGAUUUCUCCUUAAUCUAAUGCAUUUGUUUAAGUUGCUUGUUAGAAGUUCUCUAUAAGAAUCGUUUUGUAUGCCGGAUUUUUAAGAGAGAGAGAAAUUAAAAUUAGGUUCUAGGUAAAUUUGUGGGCCAUGGGAAGUGACUGAAGAAUUAAAAAUUGGUGACCUUUUUAUACUUAAAAGUAUUGAGUUGAAUUAGUUUUGGCAAAACAAUAAAGUCAUCUUAUAUGCUAUUUGAAAUUUUAUUAUUGUUAUGUUUAGUUAAUUAUUUUGUAUAAACAAAUUUUAUUUACAAAAUAUUUACAAUCCAUCCUAAAAGACUUGCAAUCUAUUAUUUGUGCGCCUUCGAUCAAGAAAUCUAAUUAUACCAUUUUCCUUUUUUCUUUCCUCUCUCCCCUCUUUUCUCCAAAUUUCGUCUUUCUCCUUUAUUUUCUCGAAUUCCUACAAUACAACAUAAAAAAAACUCCUAUAGUUGUAAAUCCUAAUCAGCAAAGUGCAAAGUGGAGAAUCAAGGAUUACUGAGCAUGCUUGAAAAUCACCUCUUUGUAAAGUAGUGAGCUGAUGGUGGGAACACACAAGAAAAGCCAUGCAACACCGUUGAACUGUACGAUAGCAAAUUGAGUAGUCAGAAGAGAGAAUGCAAUCAAGUUGUAUACGACAAUGAUAUACGAAAACAACGUAUACCUAAUUAGUAUCUCGUCUAAUCUCGAAGAAGUAGAGACGAGAGGUCGACUUCAACACUUACUAGAGGUCCAAUAAUGAUAUGUCUGUAAUAUAAUGAAUCAACCAUUUAUAUAAAUAGGAUUAUAAUUAAAUAGAGUGAAACAUGUAAAC